AGGCCAGACGCGCGGCGUUCGUGUACUGUUCACACGGCAAAGCUCCGCCACAGUGCCUUGCUCGCAUAUCUCGCGAUCGCUACGACCGCUGGCCAACGCGUAUUUGGCGUGCCUGUGUCAUUCUCAAACUCAGCGACACAUCAAACGUCAGGUGCCAACUGCUUUUCGGAAGACAUCAUGGCUGACGGUACCGGAACUGGACUGACGACGGGAGAUGACACAGUGGUUGGAGGACCAAAGACGCCACAGCAAAUAGCUGCACAGAAACGGUUGCAACAAACACAAGCACAAGUAGACGAAGUGGUAGAUAUUAUGAAGACAAACGUAAUGAAAGUUUUGGACAGGGAUCAAAAACUAUCUGAACUCGAUGAUAGAGCAGAUGCUUUACAGCAAGGAGCAUCGCAAUUUGAACAACAGGCUGGAAAGCUAAAGAGGAAAUUUUGGUUGCAGAAUUUAAAGAUGAUGAUCAUAAUGGGUGUAAUUGUAAUUAUAAUAUUAGCCAUUCUAGUUGGUAAGUUCCAAUAAAUACCAUUUCUACAUUUUGGUGGCUUAUAACUGUAUGACGAUACCGGAAAACGUUACAUACAUACAAACUGUUUUUUUUUUUUAACGCAUUAAUAAUUUUUAUAGAUUAUUUAAACAUUCAAGUCUCGGAUUUUAAUUACUAUUUAAAUAUAGAGACACAUUUACCUAAACAAUUGUUUUUAUUAGCUUAUUCAACAUUUUUAUUUUUACUUAAAACUCCAUUUUGGUUUUAACUUAAAAUUACUAAUUAAUGUCCAAUGUAUAAUCAGUUUUCAUUAGUACCGAGUUAAAUACCAAAAAAAAUUAAUUGAUGUGUUCAGCUUAAAAAUAAUUAUUGUUAUUUACUUAGUUAAUUUAGACCAUGCGUUGUACUAUAUUAUUUAAGAUAUAAUUAUAAUAUCAAUUAUUUCCUAAUUAUAAAACGUUUAUAAAUAUGUUAAAAAUAUUACAAUAUUAUCCAUUAUUAGACUUAAACUUAUAUAGGUAAUUUUAAGGAAAAAAUAAAAUUAAAACCAAAUUUUAUUGUGAGAAUGUUUUAAUUUAUUUUUAAACAAAUAAUAUUAUAUCAUCAUAAUUGACUAAAAAGUUUUACAAAAUGUCAAUUACCUUUAUUUUUUAGAAAUUAUCCUAAUUAAAUUAUGAUAAAUUCGUUUGAUAUAAAUUUUAUAUUGUACAAAUUUUUCCUUUUUCCAUCGUAUUACUACCUAUGUAUAAUUACUAUAAUGCUCAUUAUAAAAAUUAUUAUCAAUUCAUAAUAUAACUUAGCCUUCAAAAAAUGUUUCAAAACUAGAAGAAACAACAAUUAAGAUAAAUUCAUUAUAUUUCAAUAGGGAUGCCUGAUGAGAUUAGUAGUCUUUCUUUUUACUGACUUAUAUGUAAAAAUUUGUAAUGACUCUAUGUAUAGAGUAAUAUCAUUUUUUGUGAAAUAGUAUAAAGGGAAUUACCGGAAUUAGAGAGUAUAAAACUUACUGAUUAGCUAAAAUAAAUAAUGGCCUCUCUUAAAAUAUUUGUCAACAGGCGGUUUCUCUCUAAUUUAUAAGUUAUUUUAAAAUUAUUAUUUAUAAUAUUUUACCUAAACUAAAAUAUAAAUUAAGGCAAAAAAUCGUUUUAAACCAAAUGGAGAAGAUUAAUAAAAUUACAGCAUAUAUUUAAACAUGUGUAACUUAUAUUAAAUAUAAUGAAAGAAACAUUACUUUAAAAAGUCAACAAAAAAAAUCUCAAAAAGUAUUACUAAUACUUUAUCACGACAUAUACACACUAACUGAAAAAGUUGCUUUAUUUUGUGCGUUUUACGUUUUUGUGUGCUGUUUGUUAUAUUUAUUUCAACAAAAUACAUCAUGUGUGGUUAGCUAAACAAUCCGUAUGUGUCACAAAUUAUUAUUGGCUCUUAAUACUUGAACGCAAAAAUCUUGUUUGAGACUUGAAAAACUCUGCGGGUUACACUUAGCUUGGUUUUCGGACGACUAAAACGUAUAAAAAUCUCCAAUGCUUUUAACACACCAUCACCAACGACCAUCAAAUAUAUCGACUUAAAAUGAUAAAGUGAAACUAAAGGUGCAUUGAAGUACAUACGCAUACAUGUAUAAUUUAUAAAAUGUUAUGUAUUCAUAAUAAUGCUUUUGGAAAACUGCCCCUACCCAAACAUAUUAUCAUGCUUGUUACUUACCGAUUAAAUGUUAUUACCAUUAGGUGUUAACUUUCGUUUAUUGACUGGAUAAUUUUUUAUUAAAAUAAUUACCAAACAAUAAAAAAAAAAAAAACGAAAAUUACUUUGUAAAUAGUAUAAUACACAUUUUAUCAUCGUUUAAAAUUUACAUUUUUUUUUUUUUAUAAAAUAUUCACAUUUCACUACUGUGAUUAAAUCAUAGUAAAAAUUUUGUAACAGAGUUAAUACACCAUCAUUUAUACAUGUUCCAAAAUUGUUAUAUAAAUAAAUAUACAAACAAAUAUUUAAUUAAUUUCGGUAGAAAAUUUUUGACUUUACACGCUAAAAUAUUUUAAAUAUUAUAUUAUCGAAUAUAACGACUUAAUUAUUGUUAUUUUUAAGAAAUAUCGUUUAUAUCUAACAAUAUUUGUAUCAGCUUAUUAAUUUUUCGACUGUUAAACAUUUCACAAUUCAGAUAAAAGGAAAACUACUUACCUACGCAAAUUUAGAUAAUUGAAACGGAGUUAUAAAUAUCAAUUGUAUAUGUUUUUCCUGAACUUAUCUAAAUUAACGAUUAAGUAACUGUGAAAUAAAACACAAAUUAAAUGCUGGAAAAUGUAUUAGGUAGUUUUACCUCUUUGUAACAGCGUUUCAGAAAAACAUUUCAAGUAAUUGUUUAUUAUUAGUGAAUGUAUUAUUAUUAUUACAAUUAUUUAUAUUACUACGUUAUGUAAGACUUAAAUGCAAAUUUUCUGACCAUAAUUUUUAACUAGUGUAUUGGAGUAUAUACUUAUCGUGAUCUAGUAAUGCACAAAUUGCAUCGUACUACGUUUAUUCAUUUGUAUACAUAUUCGUGUAACUGUAAUUGUCAGCUACUGGCCGUUUUCAGUUUAUCAAUUAUAAUAUUAUAUUUUAAAGUUUAUGUAAUUUAAAGGAAUAAUAUCCUUAGACGUUUGGAGUAUAAAUAAAUAUUACUAAUGUUGAUUUUUUUUAA
RNA transcript from Daktulosphaira vitifoliae (grape phylloxera), 3164 nucleotides. It is a transcript of the gene named neuronal synaptobrevin-like, with no coding region annotated. The record is from RefSeq and is a predicted model, not a curated record. Lineage: Eukaryota; Metazoa; Arthropoda; Insecta; Hemiptera; Phylloxeridae. The transcript has 6 exons.